This 484-nucleotide ribosomal RNA is filed under the name uncultured bacterium. Its description in RNAcentral is "partial 16S ribosomal RNA". It matches the Rfam family "Bacterial small subunit ribosomal RNA", at positions 28 to 523 of the family's 1533-position model. The record is from RNAcentral.
GACGAACGCUGGCGGCGUGCUUAACACAUGCAAGUCGAACGAUGAAGCUAGAGCUUGCUCUGGUGGAUUAGUGGCGAACGGGUGAGUAACACGUGAGUAGCCUGCCCCAAACUCUGGGAUAACUGCUGGAAACGGUAGCUAAUACCGGAUAUGACCAAUGAAGGCAUCUUCUGUUGGUGGAAAGAAUUUCGGUUCGGGAUGGACUCGCGGCCUAUCAGCUUGUUGGUGAGGUAACGGCUCACCAAGGCGACGACGGGUAGCCGGCCUGAGAGGGUGAUCGGCCACACUGGGACUGAGACACGGCCCAGACUCCUACGGGAGGCAGCAGUAGGGAAUAUUGCACAAUGGGCGCAAGCCUGAUGCAGCAACGCCGCGUGAGGGACGACGGCCUUCGGGUUGUAAACCUCUUUUAGUAGGGAAGAAGCGAAAGUGACGGUACCUGCAGAAAAAGCACCGGCUAACUACGUGCCAGCCGCCGCCGUAA